Molecule: ribosomal RNA, 307 nt
Filed under: Haemophilus sp. HMSC073C03
Lineage: Bacteria; Pseudomonadati; Pseudomonadota; Gammaproteobacteria; Pasteurellales; Pasteurellaceae
Description: bacterial LSU rRNA
Rfam family: Bacterial large subunit ribosomal RNA
Source: RNAcentral
GAAGGUGUGUUGAGAAGCAUGCUGGACGUAUCAGAAGUGCGAAUGCUGACAUAAGUAACGAUAAAACGGGUGAAAAACCCGUUCGCCGGAAGACCAAGGGUUCCUGUCCAACGUUAAUCGGGGCAGGGUGAGUCGGCCCCUAAGGCGAGGCUGAAAAGCGUAGUCGAUGGGAAACGGGUUAAUAUUCCCGUACUUGGUAAAGCUGCGAUGUGGGGACGGAGCAGGUUAGGUUAGCGUGCUGUUGGAUAUGCACGUUUAAGUUGGUAGGUGGGGAGUUUAGGCAAAUCCGGACUUCCUUAACACUGAG